AUGACGAGGCUCGUUGGCAUUGAUGGCCCAAAGGAUAAACUCAUCAAGUUGCUAACUGAAGGGGAAGUUGCAAUUGCACAGCAGCUAAAGGUAGUGUCCAUUGUUGGAAUUGGGGGCCUUGGAAAGACUACUCUUGCUAAUCAAGUGUACCAGAAGCUGGAAGGGCAAUUUGAAUGUCAAGCUUUCAUGUCGGUGUCCCAAAAACCCGACUUGAAGAGGAUUUUCAGAAAUAUACUCUCUCAGAUCUGCUGUCAAGAGUGUGUCAGCAACGAAGAAUGGGAUGAGCAGCAACUCAUCAACACAAUAAGACAGUUCCUCAAGCAUAAAAGGUACUUCAUAGUAAUGGAUGAUAUAUGGGGCACCCCAGCAUGGAGAGCAAUCAAAUGUGCUUUUCCUGAAAAUAGUUCUUCCAGCAGAAUACUGACAACUACACGUAUCGUCACAGUAGCCAAGUAUUGUAGCUCUCAGAACCGUGAUCAUGUGUAUGAAAUAAAGCCUCUUAGUGCAACUCACUCUAAGAGCUUAUUUUUCAAACGAGCAUUUGGCUGUGAAGGUGGAUGCCCUCUUGAACUGAGGGAAGUUUUAGAUGAAAUAUUAAAAAAAUGUGGCGGCUUGCCGUUGGCAAUCAUUACAGUAGCUAGCUUAUUGGCAAAUAAAGCUAGUACCAGACAAGAAUAG
This 678-nucleotide ribosomal RNA is filed under the name Triticum aestivum (bread wheat). RNAcentral describes it as "partial small subunit ribosomal RNA". Lineage: Eukaryota; Viridiplantae; Streptophyta; Magnoliopsida; Poales; Poaceae. The record is from RNAcentral.